Molecule: ribosomal RNA, 465 nt
Filed under: uncultured bacterium
Lineage: Bacteria
Description: partial 16S ribosomal RNA
Rfam family: Bacterial small subunit ribosomal RNA
Source: RNAcentral
CUACGGGCCGCAGCAGUGGGGAAUAUUGGACAAUGGGGGAAACCCUGAUCCGGCAAUGCCGCGUGUGUGAAGAAGGCCUGCGGGUUGUAAAGCACUUUCGGUUGGGAGGACUGCUUCUAGCACUAAUAUUGUUGGAAGUUGACGUUACCUUCAGAAGAAGCACCGGCUAACUCCGUGCCAGCAGCCGCGGUAAUACGGAGGGUGCAUGCGUUAAUCGGAAUUACUGGGCGUAAAGCGCGCGUAGGCGGCUAGAUCAGUCGGGUGUGAAAGCCCCGGGCUUAACCUGGGAACUGCAUCCGAUACUGUCUAGCUUGAGUACAGGAGAGGAGAGUGGAAUUCCACAUGUAGCGGUGAAAUGCGUAGAUAUGUGGAGGAACACCAAUGGCGAAGGCAGCUCUCUGGCCUGAUACUGACGCUGAGGUGCGAAAGCGUGGGGAGCAAACAGGAUUAGAUACCCGAGUAGUC